RNAcentral lists this ribosomal RNA (490 nucleotides) under uncultured bacterium. RNAcentral describes it as "partial 16S ribosomal RNA". It matches the Rfam family "Bacterial small subunit ribosomal RNA", at positions 30 to 507 of the family's 1533-position model. The record is from RNAcentral.
AUUGAACGCUGGCGGCAGGCCUAACACAUGCAAGUCGAACGGUAACAGGAAGAAGCUUGCUUCUUUGCUGACGAGUGGCGGACGGGUGAGUAAUGUCUGGGAAACUGCCUGAUGGAGGGGGAUAACUUCUGGAAACGGUAGCUAAUACCGCAUAACGUCGCAAGACCAAAGAGGGGGACCUUCGGGCCUCUUGCCAUCGGAUGUGCCCAGAUGGGAUUAGCUAGUAGGUGGGGUAACGGCUCACCUAGGCGACGAUCCCUAGCUGGUCUGAGAGGAUGACCAGCCACACUGGAACUGAGACACGGUCCAGACUCCUACGGGAGGCAGCAGUGGGGAAUAUUGCACAAUGGGCGCAAGCCUGAUGCAGCCAUGCCGCGUGUAUGAAGAAGGCCUUCGGGUUGUAAAGUACUUUCAGCGGGGAGGAAGGGAGUAAAGUUAAUACCUUUGCUCAUUGACGUUACCCGCAGAAGAAGCACCGGCUAACUCCGUG